Molecule: long non-coding RNA, 1300 nt
Filed under: Mus musculus (house mouse)
Lineage: Eukaryota; Metazoa; Chordata; Mammalia; Rodentia; Muridae
Description: long non-coding RNA chr12:28534794-28536094
Source: RNAcentral
UUUACAAAUAGCUAACAUCACCACUCUCCAACUGAGGAACUGGGUAUCAAAAACUGAGUGUUCCUAUGGUCACAAAGUUCAGAUGGUAGAAAACAGAUUUGACCCUGAAGCCCUGGCUAGAGGCUGUGGUGCUGACCUGACUCCUUUGAACUCUUCUGCCCUGUAUAAGGAAAACUUCCUCACUUUUCUUCUAUGUCUUGUCUAGAAGACUGAUUCCUGACAUGGUCCCCCAACUUCUGCAGACCACCACAGACCACAACACCUCCUCUAACUGCUGCUCACUGAGGAAGAGGUUCUGGGAAACAAGGUUCCUUAUUGCCGUUGCUGCUGCUGCUGCUCUUGUUGUUGUUGUUGUGUGCACAAUGAGGGGUGCAUGGGUGCUACCAUGCAAGUGUGAAGGCGGGGGAGAACUUUGUGGGGUCAGUUCUCUCCUACCACCCUCAGAAGGGCUCCAGUGAUCAAACUCAAAUCAUCAAACAUGUACAGCAAGCACUUUUCCCACUGAGCCAUCUUACCUGAGGCCCUUCCUUGCAAAGCCGUGCCUUCUGCACAGCUCAAUGUUUGUUGAAUAGAUUGACUAAUAAAACCAGCUUAAAAUAAAGGUAGAACACCCAGAACACGCCUCCAACCCCUAACCCCCACAUGAGGGCACCUUACUUUCGAACUCCUCCUAGAGGGAAGACUUUUUCUCCAAUCAUGGCCAGCACGCUAUUCCAAUCUGACAGGCUGAAUUUGGGUAUAAUAACUUUUAUAGGAGGGAUAAAUAAUCUUCCAUUUGUGAAAACGCUGUAAGGGUAAAAAGAAAAAGCAUCAUUACUGCCUUAAAAUUGAGAGGGAACACUGUAUUCAAAAAAAAAAAACACAGAUGUACUUACAGAAAUGCAAAAACAUUCUGAUAGACUGAUUAACCCUUAACAGUGCGUGGAGUCCUACAGAGCAGUCUUCAUGUCCACUAACACAACAAUGGCUUUAGGACAGUACUGUUUCGUUUUGCACUGCACUGCAUUGGGAUGGGGUCCCAUAUAGCCCAAACUGAUCUCAAGCUCACUGUGCAGCCACAAAUGACCUUGAACUUCCGGCGCUCCUGUCUUCACCUCCAAGCACUGACAUUAUAGACAUACGCCACCACUUCUGGCUUAUGAGUCACUAGGGAUGGAGCCUAGGGCUUCCUGCAUGUGAGGCCACAUGGUUAACAACUGAGCUCUGUGCACAGCUUGGAAAGCAUCUUUUUAUAUAGCUAAAGGUGCCAAAAUGAAUGUGACAUAAUUAUACUUCCCAAAAAUACGUUUCCUAUGGUGGG